UACGUAGGGUGCUAGCGUUGUCCGGAUUUAUUGGGCGUAAAGGGCUCGUAGGCGGCGUGUCGCGUCGGGAGUGAAAGCCCGCUGCUUAACGGCGGGUUGGCUUCCGGUACGGGCAUCGCUGGAGUGCGGAAGAGGUGGGUGGAAUUCCUAGUGUAGAGGUGAAAUUCGUAGAUAUUAGGAAGAACACCGGUGGCGAAGGCGGCCCACUGGAUCGGUACUGACGCUGAGGUGCGAAAGCGUGGGGAGCAAACAGG
RNAcentral lists this ribosomal RNA (254 nucleotides) under uncultured bacterium. Its description in RNAcentral is "partial 16S ribosomal RNA". It matches the Rfam family "Bacterial small subunit ribosomal RNA", at positions 524 to 776 of the family's 1533-position model. The record is from RNAcentral.